GUCUCAGUUCGGAUUGAAGGCUGAAAUUACGCCUUCCAUGAAGCCGGAAUUGCUAGUAAUGGCAGGUCAGCAUACUGCCGUGAAUACGUUCCCGGGCCUUGUACACACCGCCCGUCACACCAUGAGAGUUGGAGAUACCCGAAGCCUGUGAGCUAACAAACGAGGCAGCAGUCGAAGGUAGAAUCAAUGAUUGGGGUGAAGUCGUAACAAGGUACC
RNAcentral lists this ribosomal RNA (216 nucleotides) under uncultured bacterium. RNAcentral's name for it is "partial 16S ribosomal RNA". It matches the Rfam family "Bacterial small subunit ribosomal RNA", at positions 1285 to 1500 of the family's 1533-position model. The record is from RNAcentral.